This is a long non-coding RNA of Armigeres subalbatus, 861 nucleotides long. RefSeq lists it as uncharacterized. Lineage: Eukaryota; Metazoa; Arthropoda; Insecta; Diptera; Culicidae. The transcript is spliced from 3 exons. The record is from RefSeq and is a predicted model, not a curated record.
GCAAUGGAGCCUACAGACCCGGGAUCUGCGUUGAAAAGUUCAUACAGCCAGAUUCAAAUGCAGUUGGAUAUGUUUUGGAAUCGUUGGAUACGAGAGUAUCUGCCAACUCUUACUAAACGACCAAAAUGGCACACAGACGUUAACCCACUAACUGAAGGAGAUUUGGUCGUUGUGGUAGAUGAACGCCCUAGAAACAGUUGGACGCGAGGCCGUAUCGUACAGGUUAUCAAAGGAAGCGAUGGCAGAAUCCGACAAGCACUUGUUAAAACUGCGAAGGGGGUUUUGCGUCGAUCAGCUGCCAGAUUGGUGGUAUUACAGGUUCAAAGCGUUAGUAAAACUGGAUCAGGUGACGGUGAUCAGUGUUACGGGGGGGAUAAUGUUACUGGCAGCACUGCCCGUCGCGAUGCACCCAUGGAUGACACAGGAGGGGUCGGAAUGGCGCAAACUGCAUAGUGUCAAAACUGAUUUCGCAUCUUCGCUCAAGUUCGCCCGGUUCGAAUCAGUUCAACGGAAGUAAUAAAAAACGAAGCAAAAAUUUUCAUUUCCGGUAGAAAACGUUUUCGCUUCAGACGUAGCUAGAAGAGUAAAGUCGCGCAGUGUUUCGUAGUUGAAAAUUAGAUAGAUUAGAAACAAGACUCUGUUUGAAUUGGACACCUGUUUAUUCCAGUGGCGAUCUGGAUCUAUUCGAAUCUAUAAAGUCAAACUAGCCGAAAACCGAAUACGCGUGGGAGAUCAGCGAUUCUGUAGGAAUCGAAUAAUCGAGUGUGUUGUAGACCGAUUGAUCUAAAAGCAUUGCAAAACAUAAACUAGUGUUUGUACUAGCUCUAAGGAAGUCGGUGCCCACUCCCAUCUCGGUUGACG